This is an RNA transcript of Carlito syrichta (Philippine tarsier), 996 nucleotides long. It is a transcript of the gene named HLA class II histocompatibility antigen, DP alpha 1 chain-like, with no coding region annotated. The record is from RefSeq and is a predicted model, not a curated record. The transcript is spliced from 4 exons. NCBI's taxonomy places the organism in Eukaryota, Metazoa, Chordata, Mammalia, Primates, Tarsiidae.
CCUCAGUUCCUUAUCAUUGUUCCUGUGCUCACAGCUGUUAGCUGUAGACCCCACAACGUGUUCCCUGAAGAGAGAAUGUCCCAGACCAGAGCUGUGAUCCUGAGAGUCCUCUCCUUGAUUUUCCUGCUGAGUCUCCUAGGAGCUGAGGCCAUCAAGGCGGACCAUGUGUCAACUUAUGCCAUAUUUACACAGACAUAUAGGUCAUCAGGGGAAUUUAUGUUUGAGUUUGAUAAAGAUUAGAUGUUCUACAUGGAUCUGGACAAGAAGGAGACGGUCUGGCAUCUGGAGGAGUUUGGCCGAGCCUUUUCCUUUGAGGCUCAGGACGGGCUGGCUAACAUUGCUAUAGCGAACACCAACUUGAAUGCCAUGAUCCAGCGUUCCAACUACACCCAGGCCACCAGUGAGCCCCCUGAGGUGACCGUGUUUCCCAAGGAGCCUGUGGAGCUGGGCCAACCCAAUACCCUCAUCUGCCACACUGACAAGUUCUUCCCGCCGGUGCUCAAUGUCACGUGGCUGUGCAAUGGGCAGCCGGUCACUGAGGGUGUCGCUGAGACCAUCUUCCUGCCCAGAACAGAUUACAGCUUCCACAAGUUCCACUACUUGACCUUCAUGCCCUUGACUGACAAUGUCUAUGACUGCAAAGUGGAUCAUUGGGGCCUGGACAAGCCGCUUGUCGGGCACUGGGAGGCUCAGGAGCCAAUCCAUGUGACUGAGACAACGGAGACUGUGCUCUGUGCCCUGGGCCUGCUGCUGGGCCUGGUGGGCAUCAUGGCUGGCACCAUCCUCAUCAUAAAGGCUCUGCAUUCUGGUCAUGACCCCAGAGCCCGGGGGCUCCUGUGGGCUAUUGUCAGAGGAAAAGAGGAGGGAGCCUAGGAUCUGUACUAUAUAAUGAAUGAAGGAAAAAUUCUAUUUCAUAAAUAUACAUUGAUCUCUUAAUGACUUAAAAGCAUCAGACUGCAUAAUAACAACACUGAUAAUUUACUGAGCAUUUAAUAU